GACGAACGCUGGCGGCGUGCUUAACACAUGCAAGUCGAACGAAGUGGCGAACGGGUGAGUAACGCGUAAUCAACCUCCCCUUCAGAGGGGGUUAACAGUUGGAAACGACUGUUAUUCCCCAUAACUGAAGGGGGGGUUUGCGUCGGAUUAGCUAGUUGGAGGGGUAACGGCCCACCGAGGUGAUGAUCAGUAGGCUGGCUGAGGGGAUUGACGGGCACAUUUGGACUGGGACACGGCCCAGACUCCUACGGGAGGGAGCAGGGGGGAAUCUUUCGCAAUGGACGAAAGUCUGGCGGAGCAACGCCGCGUGAGGUAUGACGGCCUUCGGGGUGUAAAGCUCUGUUAAUCGAGACGCGGUACCGGAAUAGAAAGCCACGGCUAACUACGUGCCAGCAGCCGCGGUAAUAC
RNAcentral lists this ribosomal RNA (408 nucleotides) under uncultured bacterium. RNAcentral's name for it is "partial 16S ribosomal RNA". It matches the Rfam family "Bacterial small subunit ribosomal RNA", at positions 28 to 526 of the family's 1533-position model. The record is from RNAcentral.